CGCGUGCACCGCUUGCACCCGCGCGUGCAGAACCCAUGGAUGGGGUCACCACCAUCCCUCCUCUCCUCCUCCUCAUUUGUUCCAAACCAGUGGAAAGCUAGGGUUCCGCUGACUCGCGAGUGGAGGGCGCUGCUCGUCGCCAGGCUCGUCGCGCCGUCCUCGCCGGCGGGAGGGCCGGUCGUCCGUCAGCAUCCUCUCUUCCGUUGGUCAUCCUCCCUCUCUUUCGCUAGCCGCCAUCGCUCUCUUCCACUGGUUCGCUCUCUCCGUCAAGCCGUUUGGUUUCGCCGGCUCUCUGCUACGCCCCUCUCUUUCGUCGACUCUCUCCGUUGAGCUCUCUGGUAAGGGCUAGGUUGGGCAUCUCCUUCCCUUUCUCACCUCCUUCAGUUUCUUCUCCUCUCUUCCUUUGAUUUCAGCCGAUUUGUUUGGAUUAGACCGUGUCCCCUUCAUAAAUAUGCUAGAUCUACUCCAUUAUCUAAAAAAAAUGCUAGAUCUACUAAAAGCUGAUAUCUUUCUUGGUUGAUUUCGAUGGAAUGAAAUGUCUAGUGGCUUGCUUUUUUGUUCUAAGAUGGCCAAUGAUGACUAAUGUUGCUGAUUUGUGAUGCUUAUGAACAGAUUUUUCCUACACUUAUUCCUAUUUUCCUGUUGAUUUGUGUUAUGCCAUUGUAUCUUUGGCUACAAAUAGAAGUUACUGAUAAGGCCAGAUUCAAUAGUGCGUUCUUUUAAAUUGAUACUGACAGAUACACACUUGAUUAAUAGUGCUUAUUUGUGAUGCAUAAGAACAUAUAUGCCUGCACUUGACCUUAUUCGAUAAGGUCAGGCAACCAAACAUGCCCUUUCUAAGUUUGUCUUUCUGUGAUCUUUCUCAGUAUUUUAUAGUUGAAAUUAUCUUUAGCAGAACUGAGGCCACCUCUACACUUGAACUGAGCAGAAUUUAUAAGAGUACAUGAACAGAUUUUUCUACACUUGUUCUUUUUUCUUGCUGUUAGGCUGGGAAAGAUGGCCAAUGAUGAUAUAUGCUGCUGUUUGUGAUUCAUGUGAAUAGAUUUUUGCUCUACACUUGUUCUCAUUUUCUUGCGGUUUCUUUUUUCCUACACUUGGUCUUAUUUUCCUUUUCCUUAUACCUUUUCUUUUGCUACAUUUGAUAGAUACUACUGGUAAGAACAGAUACCAAUGAUAGUAGCUAAUUCACAUUCUUCAUAUAUCUGAGGCCAUUGUUCUGCAUUUAUUUACCUGUUGGAAAUGAGGCUCAAUGAUGUCAAAUUUCUGCACAUAUUUGCUACAUUUUCGAGUUAUUGAUGUCAGGCAAAUACUAUCAAGUUCCUUGUUCAUCUUUUGAUAUCAACAGAUGUACUCACUUUUUUUAGGUAACCACACUUGAUUUUGACAUGAUCAAGUUUUUAUAUGAAACCGAUACACUCUGCACUUGCUCUUUUGGUAAAGAUCAUACUACUAUUAAGUGUUGAUGCUCUUGCAACCUGAUCUCUGCAACUCAGAUCCUGUACUAUUUCAAAGGUACAUGUUAUCCUGUUUACUUUUACUAUGUUUCAGGAAAAUGUGAUAAUGGAAAAACUUGUGAGAUCAAGUGUAGAUAUACUAAGGUUGAUGAGUUUGAAGAACAUAGCUGAAACAGAUGGUUUAGUUUUGUAUGCGGUUACUAAUUUGUUUAUCAAAUUGGUUACUGUAAAAAAUUUGCCAUGAGCACGUAUAUUUGUAUGUUUGUUUUGAAUUGUCAAAUGUACCAGUGUCGUCAAUAAAAUUAUGUACAUGAUUUUUGCUAGAAUAAUCACUCUUGCGUGUUCAUCCAGGCCAUUUCGUUACAUUUGAUAAAAAAAAUGAUCAUCAGUGCUGCUCAUUGGUUUUAAAAAAUGACAACAUCAGUAAAGCAUACAUACCCAGUACAUCGAUUCUCUAAGAGAAAAAUGAGCUUAGGAAUAUUAGUAGGUGGGCACAGACCCAGAGUAACAUAAUUUAAUCUAUAUAUCUACGAUGGAUUAAACUUAUCACACAUAAAUAGAUUAGGGACUAGGAAAAAAUCUCGUUUCACAAACUUUAUGGGGUAACCUAACCACCCACAAGAAUAGGUAUUUACACAUAAGAUGUAUCCAUCCAACCAAACAACAUCUCCUGCAUGCUACCAUUCCAUCCGCCCCUUGCUGCAACCAACCAAACAGCAUCUCAUCAUAUCCAGGUUCAUCUCAUCCAAGCAACCAAACACCUACAUGUGUAUCCUCUAAACCAGGCUAAACUUAGCCUGGAUGAGGGAGAUGGGCCAGGCUAGAGGGAUACGAGCAACCAAACAGACCCUUACUGCAUAAUCUUCACCUUCUGUAAACCCUCUCACUGAGCAAUUGGAUAUAGGGAGUAAGUGGAAAUGGAUGCAGAUGGUAGCUCCAAGAAAGGCCCUCCAGGUCGUCGCACUAGAAAGAAGCUGAAGUUCAAGCCAAAAGUGCCACCACAAAAGCCAAGAAAAUCAGUUCCAGAAAAGCCAAACCUGGAACAGUCAAAGCCAAUUGAUGAAGAAUUGAUGAAGAGACUGAAGACUGGCCAAGGAGCUACAAAAACAUUGUCAAGUAUAAAAGAUGAACACUCAACACAGAACCCACCCUCAACUGUUUCUUCUGCAGCUAGUGUUAGCUUAACACUGCCACAGUCAGGAGGGCACAACCAAGGCCAACUGGAAGAAGAAGCCAUUCCACAUCACAAGAGCGGUUCCUCUUGAUGCUAUUCCAGGAUUUUUAUACGACGAUGAGGAUGAUGAUGACGACGACGACGAUGAGGGCGAUAACAAUGUUGAAUUAGAGGAGAUUCGACCAAGUUCAACUGAAUGUGAAUCUUCCAUCCAUCCAGCAGAAGAGCUGAAUUUACUCGAGCAAGGUGACACGAGAAGAAUGCUCCUAUUCCAGUUGCCAAAAUCUCUUCCGUUGCCAAGAAUAUCCGCUGCAGUUGAAAGGAAUGGAAAAGCCAGGGACAAGGAGGUGAAAGAAGGAUCCAACUUGAAAGAAUUGCCACAAGGAUAUUUGGGCAAAAUGGUGGUGUACAAGAGCGGCAAGAUCAAGAUGAAGUUGGGGGAUGUCAUGUUUGAUGUGAACCCAGGAGAAGAGUGUAGGAUGGCACAACAUGUGGCUGCUAUCAACACCAAAGAGAAGCAUUGUUGUUUACUUGGCGAGAUCGAGAGCCGGCAUGUCGUUGUGACUCCAGAUGUGGACUCGCUGCUGUUGAAUGACAAUAGAGGUUAGGUAAUUACGUGUGCAUAAGUGCAUUGGUCAGCUGUGAGCUACAGUCCUGCAAUGACUUGCCAGAUUAGUGUGCAUAGCUAGCAAUGUGCAUUUUAACUGUAUUUGUAGCGGUUGUAAAAUUGUGUGCCUUUAGAAGAUUUGCUGCUUGUAGUAAAUGAAUACUUAGCUUAGAUUGUACUUAUGGUAGUAUUGUUGAUGUGUCAUGUUAUGAUUUUUAUGGAGAUCUCACUAAAGCUUUUAUCGAGA
Molecule: non-coding RNA, 3482 nt
Organism: Oryza sativa Japonica Group (Japanese rice)
Lineage: Eukaryota; Viridiplantae; Streptophyta; Magnoliopsida; Poales; Poaceae
Source: RefSeq, a predicted model, not a curated record